This 671-nucleotide long non-coding RNA is filed under the name Brassica napus (rape). RNAcentral describes it as "long non-coding RNA (BNAP_LNC025032)". The record is from RNAcentral. Lineage: Eukaryota; Viridiplantae; Streptophyta; Magnoliopsida; Brassicales; Brassicaceae.
AGUUAAUAACCUGGCUAGGACUAGGGCUAGGAUGCAUCAUGUUUUCUAUUAUUGCAUGUUGAUAUGGUUGAGUGCAGGUACCCAUUAUCCUUAAAGAUAGUUUCAUAGCAGGAGGCUAACUAUCUGGGAAACGGUUUGAUUAAGUAGAUUGCUUGUUAGACUAGUUUAAUACUUGCUCGUUUAAUUAAUCUUGUUGAUUGAGGUUAGCCAGCUCUUGGUAAGGGGGUGAUUAACUGGUUGAGUUGUUAGAAUUAGGUUAUUUGGUUAUGUGUUAGAAUCCUAGUGAGUCAGUCAUGAGUACGUGUUUAGCCAGAGAAUCUUACUUGGAUUCUAGAGCCAAGUAUUUUCUUUAGGAAUUGAGACUAGUAGAGUGUUAGGUAACUCCCAAGUGUGUGAGAUAGAGUUGAGAACCUCGUGGUGGUUCUACUCUUGGCAGGGCAUUGCUUCCUCCAAUUGGUACCACUAAGCCGGUCGUGGUCCGAAAAGUGGUAGGCUCGGUUUAGCUUGGUUGAUCACCGAGGCCGAGUGUCACACGUGGAUGUGACAGCCCCCGGCGAGUCCGAUAGAGGACCGGGGCACGGCGAUUCCGAUUGAGGACCGUGACCGGGUGAUUCACGAGCGCCUACGCCUGUGUGGUGUAAUAGUGAAGGGAUUGCCGGUGUCCCUUGUGU